UACGUAGGUCCCGAGCGUUGUCCGGAUUUAUUGGACGUAAAGCGAGCGCAGGUGGUUUAUUAAGUCUGGUGUAAAAGGCAGUGGCUCAACCAUUGUAUGCAUUGGAAACUGGUAGACUUGAGUGCAGGAGAGGGGAGUGGAAUUCCAUGUGUAGCGGUGAAAUGCGUAGAUAUAUGGAGGAACACCGGUGGCGAAAGCGGCUCUCUGGCCUGUAACUGACACUGAGGCUCGAAAGCGUGGGGAGCAAACAGG
RNAcentral lists this ribosomal RNA (252 nucleotides) under uncultured bacterium. RNAcentral describes it as "partial 16S ribosomal RNA". It matches the Rfam family "Bacterial small subunit ribosomal RNA", at positions 524 to 776 of the family's 1533-position model. The record is from RNAcentral.